GGGUUAUAUAACUUGACAUCUGAUGAGACCCAGCUGUGAGACCUGGACCUGAGUCAGUUUAAGGCCUGAGCAUGUUGCUCUUAAAACCAUGACCACUUUAGAAAACCCCUGGCAGACACAGCCUAACUCCUGAGUAUCCUCCAAAGCAUUUAUGUAUCUUCCCUGAGUUCACAGAAGCGCUCAGCAAAUGCUUACGACCACCUAACUGAAGGGCAGUGGCUGAAGG
RNAcentral lists this long non-coding RNA (226 nucleotides) under Pongo abelii (Sumatran orangutan). RNAcentral's name for it is "lincRNA". The record is from RNAcentral. Lineage: Eukaryota; Metazoa; Chordata; Mammalia; Primates; Hominidae.